This 1040-nucleotide ribosomal RNA is filed under the name Shigella boydii. RNAcentral describes it as "partial 23S ribosomal RNA". It matches the Rfam family "Bacterial large subunit ribosomal RNA", at positions 174 to 1253 of the family's 2925-position model. Lineage: Bacteria; Pseudomonadati; Pseudomonadota; Gammaproteobacteria; Enterobacterales; Enterobacteriaceae. The record is from RNAcentral.
AUGAGGCGAACCGGGGGAACUGAAACAUCUAAGUACCCCGAGGAAAAGAAAUCAACCGAGAUUCCCCCAGUAGCGGCGAGCGAACGGGGAGCAGCCCAGAGCCUGAAUCAGUGUGUGUGUUAGUGGAAGCGUCUGGAAAGGCGUGCGAUACAGGGUGACAGCCCCGUACACAAAAAUGCACAUAUUGUGAGCUCGAUGAGUAGGGCGGGACACGUGGUAUCCUGUCUGAAUAUGGGGGGACCAUCCUCCAAGGCUAAAUACUCCUGACUGACCGAUAGUGAACCAGUACCGUGAGGGAAAGGCGAAAAGAACCCCGGCGAGGGGAGUGAAAAAGAACCUGAAACCGUGUACGUACAAGCAGUGGGAGCACGCUUAGGCGUGUGACUGCGUACCUUUUGUAUAAUGGGUCAGCGACUUAUAUUCUGUAGCAAGGUUAACCGAAUAGGGGAGCCGAAGGGAAACCGAGUCUUAACUGGGCGUUAAGUUGCAGGGUAUAGACCCGAAACCCGGUGAUCUAGCCAUGGGCAGGUUGAAGGUUGGGUAACACUAACUGGAGGACCGAACCGACUAAUGUUGAAAAAUUAGCGGAUGACUUGUGGCUGGGGGUGAAAGGCCAAUCAAACCGGGAGAUAGCUGGUUCUCCCCGAAAGCUAUUUAGGUAGCGCCUCGUGAAUUCAUCUCCGGGGGUAGAGCACUGUUUCGGCAAGGGGGUCAUCCCGACUUACCAACCCGAUGCAAACUGCGAAUACCGGAGAAUGUUAUCACGGGAGACACACGGCGGGUGCUAACGUCCGUCGUGAAGAGGGAAACAACCCAGACCGCCAGCUAAGGUCCCAAAGUCAUGGUUAAGUGGGAAACGAUGUGGGAAGGCCCAGACAGCCAGGAUGUUGGCUUAGAAGCAGCCAUCAUUUAAAGAAAGCGUAAUAGCUCACUGGUCGAGUCGGCCUGCGCGGAAGAUGUAACGGGGCUAAACCAUGCACCGAAGCUGCGGCAGCGACACUAUGUGUUGUUGGGUAGGGGAGCGUUCUGUAAGCCUGUGA